Molecule: ribosomal RNA, 253 nt
Filed under: uncultured bacterium
Lineage: Bacteria
Description: partial 16S ribosomal RNA
Rfam family: Bacterial small subunit ribosomal RNA
Source: RNAcentral
UACGGGGGGGGCAAGCGUUGUUCGGAAUUACUGGGCGUAAAGGGUGCGUAGGCGGCUUUCUAAGUUGGAUGUGAAAACUAUGGGCUCAACCCAUAGCCUGCAUCCAAAACUGGAGAGCUUGGGUUCUGGAGGGGAAAGCGGAAUUCCUGGUGUAGCGGUGAAAUGCGUAGAUAUCAGGAGGAACACCGGUGGCGAAGGCGGCUUUCUGGACAGAUACCGACGCUGAGGCACGAAAGCUAGGGGAGCAAACGGG